GAAGAGGUUCUCUUUAAAUGGUUGGGAAAUACCAUCGUCCUAAAGGGUGAAGUUUGUAUGACUGAAGCGCUCCAGGAUUUAGUCAAACAAAAAUUGUUUUAAGAGGAACAAAAAAAAAUGGGAUCAAGUGUCUCCAAACCAAUGACAAGCACUGAAAAACCACACGGCACAUCAACAGAAGCCACACACACUGAUAUACCAGAUUGCCCAACUAUUGCUCUCGAGAAAAUAUACCCCUACUUAUUUAUGGCAUUUGCUGCUGGGGUCCUUCUGACGCUUCUGGUCACUGCCAUCAUCUGCCUCAUCAAGAAGAGCUGCCCCAAAUAUCCAACCAGCAGCUCCCAGGCAAUUUCCCGGGCCUCAGACCCUUCCCACAAGUGUUGCCCCACUGCUGAGGAAGCCCUUACCUGUGCUGAUGUGUCUCUCAAAGAUUCAGAAGAAGACAGAGUCUGCUUUGCGCAAAACCAGCGAGAAGAAUUGGAACCCAUUGUCUAUGCACAAAUCAAAGUGCAAACCAAAACCAGCCCUGCCACCAGUGGAAGUGGGGAGAUCCGCUAG
RNAcentral lists this long non-coding RNA (558 nucleotides) under Phascolarctos cinereus (koala). RNAcentral describes it as "lncRNA (ENSPCIG00000027730.2)". The record is from RNAcentral. Lineage: Eukaryota; Metazoa; Chordata; Mammalia; Diprotodontia; Phascolarctidae.